This is a long non-coding RNA of Cygnus atratus (black swan), 1501 nucleotides long. RefSeq lists it as uncharacterized. Lineage: Eukaryota; Metazoa; Chordata; Aves; Anseriformes; Anatidae. The record is from RefSeq and is a predicted model, not a curated record. The transcript has 3 exons.
CAUGCUUUGUCUGAUACAACCUUCAAGAAUCUAAGUAAAUGAUCAAUGUUUUCAUGCAUAUGGAAGAGGUUCUGCCCCUUGGAAGCUUCAAAACAUUGGCCAACACCUAUCACAUAUAAUGAACUUGUUUUCAUUUCCACUAUGAGAACGACAUAGCAGGACCUCCCUAGUCACCUCUGUAUUGAUGUCACUGCUGUGGUAUCAAACUCAUCAGCAGGAGAUUAAAUAAUAUUUAUUUGCUGUGAAGUCUGGAAUAUUUUUUUACUGGGAUGUGAGAGGGUGGCCCAAAUUCUUUAUGAUCCCAAUGGUCCUCAAACAGCAACAUCUUCACUUUUGGUAUCAUUCCUGUUCAUCAGGAUUUUGAUAACGAAACAGAGAGUGAUCAUUUCGCUAAACUGGAAGUGCAAAUUACUCCCAUAGCAUCUACAGCACUUGCAUUCAGUCAGAAAACUGUGAAUGUCGUUUAAAGACACUUGUUCCCCGUUCUCCUGGACUACAGAUUCAAUACCAUUCAGGAAAAUUGGAUCUUCUGAAGAUCUCCAUUGCUUCUUAGUGUGGAUAAAUUCACCAGGUUUUGAUUUUGUUGUAGAUGUGGUGGAGUUGUAGGAGCCAGUCAUUUUCAAGACAACUUCAAAAGACCAUGUGGUUCAUGAGGGGGAGGAAAGCAUUGUAUCCGCAACCACUAUCUGUCUGACUGCUCUUGAAAACAUUAUUGCUGAGUGUCUUUCUCUUGAAGAAGUAGGUUAGUGGUUUUCAAUUUACCUUCUCUGCUAGGCAGUUGGAAAAAGCAUACUGGAAGAGAAUGCUAAUAUCUUUUCUGUCUAGAUGUGAAAUGUUUUAAUUAAAAUAAGGUAGAGUAUAUGUUGCUGAAGGAUGUUUGAGAAAAGCUUUUUUUCCUUUCAGAUUGUUGAAAAAUUUGGGAAAGAAAUAGUAUUAUACAUCCCAAUAAAACCUACUGUCAGCAGGUGCAAACACUAAUGUCCUUCCCAAAUAAUUUUUUUUUUUUCUAAUAGAGCAGAACCGAGUUUCAUUUCUAAUAAAUGUAGAAGAAAAAUUGGAAGGAUGAGAAUGUCAGGGCAACAAAUCACUCUGUUAUGGCUGGAAGAAAAAAUACAAGCUCUUUGUAGUUACACAUGCAAGCAUUCAGUGAGAGAGAUGGGCAGAUAACAAUAUGAUAGAGUAAAAAGACAGAAGUAAAUGGGUAAAGUAAGAAUUGGGAUAGGACCAGCUGAAUAGUUUAAUGAAAGACUUAUUACCUCUAUUAAGAAGAUGUAAAGUUCAGACUUGGGGAGGAAGCCAAAUCACUCAGUAAGAAGUGCUACAACAGCAGAAUGAAGUGGUGGCCUUUUAAAUGGAAAUUUCCAUUAGGCAGAUGGGAUAUCAUAUUUAAACAUAAAUACUCUCAAACCUAUCUUGAAAAAAAUUGUGUAAAGAAGGGAAAAUUGGUAGAGAUAUGUUUUCUGGAAAUAUAAAGAUAAUGGGGCAUAUGUGCCUUUUUUGU